Long non-coding RNA from Fukomys damarensis (Damara mole-rat), 732 nucleotides. RefSeq lists it as uncharacterized. NCBI's taxonomy places the organism in Eukaryota, Metazoa, Chordata, Mammalia, Rodentia, Bathyergidae. The record is from RefSeq and is a predicted model, not a curated record. The transcript has 2 exons.
GAUCGCUGUGAGUUGGAGACCAGCAUGGGCUACACGAUUUCCCCACGAAAUACAACAUGAAAACCGUCUCAAAUUGGACGCAUAUCAAUAUCGCACAAAGGGUUACAGAAUCACAGUUGAGGACGCAAAGAUCAUGAGGGCAAAACCGAAUGAAGAUACGUCUUUCUCUGUUCAGGUACCUCGACACAGGUGAAGCCAGUCUCAGAAGGCCACUAAGUCUAGUCUCGCAACCCCAGAAGGGUGAAGAGCUAUUCACUGAGCAGCUAAACACGUUGCAGCAACAACCAUGUGUCCUGCCAGGGUCUGUCAGGGCCCAGACCCACAAGGAGACUCUACCACAACAGAUGUCCUCCGACUACUGAUGUGGGGCCUGUGCGAGUUAUCACAGAUCAGCAGUUUUCAUGCAGAAAAACGUACUACAAACCUACGUACCUCUCACAAAUACUGAAAUAUCCUGUUGGGAAGCGGUGUUGCCAGCAGUACUGGUCGUCUUCGGUGUGGAAAACCUUCUCCUUGUGCUUCUCUGAAGAGAUGUGGCCCUGCCACUGCUUCUCACUGUUACAGUUCUUCCCGCACAUCCAGCAGUGAAAAUCCACCUGUGUGUGGCGCAGAUGUGGCCCGUCAGUGGUGGUGUGAGCGCCCUGUCACUGUGAGGGCACCUGAAGGUCCAGAUGCCACCGGCUCUGAGAACCAGACUCUCUCUGUUCUCAGGGAGCCAGGCAAGGACAUAAA